UCAGCGCCGGCCACCGUCGCCGAACGCCGCUGGACGCCAGUCCCCGACGUCGCUCGAGCCUCGACGCCCGCAUUCGCGAAUCGCCAGAAGCUGACCGACCUUGACCGACGUCCCUGCUCGUGACCGGCCGUUGCCCCGAAGACCCUGACCGACGUCCCUGCUCGUGACCCACGCCGCUCGCGCCAGAAGCCCCGACGCCCCUGCUGCUGCAACGAACCAGAAGCCACUGCUUCGCCAUUCCCGUUCGGCACCAGGUUCCCUCUCUCUCUCUCUCUCUCUCUCUCUCUCUCUCUCUCUCUCUCUCUCUCUCUGUGCAACUGAGCAUGCGUUCGUGAUUGCGCUUCAGUUCCGGCUCGCGCGCACUGCUUGGUGGGACCGAUUGUUUCGUAAUCGAUUGCAAGUGGGUGUUUAUCUGAUUGCCGAAACGCUUCGGGUGCUUGCGGAAUUUCUGGGUUCUACCUCCGCGGGGCUUGGUUUGCGCUUUGUAAUGGAACUUGUUGCAUGACUCAUUUUGGGCUUUUUUCCUUAUUGGAAGCUGAAAGUCCGUAUAUGCGUUGUGGGUUCUUCUGGAAAAGAGAAAUUGGUUUAGUUGGUGAAGUGUUGACGCUUUCUCUGUGAGAGUCUCGCGCGUCCGGGUUGACUGCUUGGUGGGACCGAUUAUUUUGUAAUUGAUUUCAACUGGGGUGUUUAUCUGAUUACUGAAACGCUUCGGAUAGUUGCAGAAAUUUCGAGGGUCUGCCUCCGCGGGGCUCGUUCGUGCUUCCCGUUCUGCGUGUAAUGGAGCUUGUUGCAUGACCCCUUUUGGGCUUUUUUCCUUACUUGAAGCUGAAACUUCGUUUUGGGUUGUGGGUUCUUCGGGAAAAGAGAAAUUGGUUUAGUCGGUGAAGUGUUGAAGCUUUCUCUUUCUCUGCAAGAGUCGUGCGCUUCUGGGUUGAGAUUAAUGAUGCUUCCCUUAUUGAACUUUGAAAUCCGAGUCUCGCAUUCCAUUGUUGUAUUGUUUAUCUGAUUACCGAAAUGCUUCAGGUACUUGCAGAAAUUUGAGGGUCUGCCUCUGCCAGGCUGGUUUUGCGCUUCCUUUUCCGCAUGUAAUGGAACUUGCUGAAUGACCCCUUUUGGGCUUUCCUUAUUCGAAGCUGAAACUUUUUUUGCUUUGUGGGUUCUUUGGGAAAAGAAAAGUUGGUUUG
This 1184-nucleotide long non-coding RNA is filed under the name Eucalyptus grandis. RNAcentral's name for it is "long non-coding RNA (EGRA_LNC006115)". Lineage: Eukaryota; Viridiplantae; Streptophyta; Magnoliopsida; Myrtales; Myrtaceae. The record is from RNAcentral.